ACGCGUGCGCGGAGGGGCUGCGCUACCCGGUCUUGGGUUUUUCAUCGGGGAGUGGGAGUGGACUGAAGGCUUGGCCGCUCCGCCUCACUGAGCCGGCUCAGCCAGCGCAGCUGUUCCUGGAACGCCAGUCCCUUAGGAUGGGAGAGAGCGGAGAAGGCAAAGAGGAACAGACUGGGAAAGAGACUGGAUAGAUUCUAAUAUGGCUACAUCCUGGUGGGAGGCAGGACACUGAAGUACUUAGAACCCCUCAGAAUGGCCAGAUCCUGCUCAUGCUUGGGCUAGAAGAAUGGAACCUUUGUAAUUCUGGACUUGUAAAUGGAAACACAUCACUUACUGUGAACCACAUCCCAGACAGACAUGGGCAGGUGAAAACAAAUUCUUCCAGGGUCUGCUGCCUCAUGGACUGGCUGUGCAGUGUGGAAAAUCAUCUGUCCUGCCUCUUAACCAACUUGAUAAUGAAGACUCGGUAAAAAUAGGACAGUCAAUUUUAAAAGGCAGCAUGAGUCACGCGUGUGAGGCUGCACAGUCGCAGAAGGUGGUUUGUAUGGAACCAAAUUCACUUUCAGAAACAGUCUCCCAGUGCAGAAGCACCUCCUCUCCUCACCCCUGCCAGUGUUCACUGUCUUACAGGCAUCUUUUCUUCACCAGUUCAUCGUUUUCAAAAGAAGUUUAAAAAGAGACUUGGAAUAAACCAAAAUCAAACAAACACAGCAAACACCUCACUUACACUGCAGUUAAAUGACUGGAAAGUUACCUGCCUUCCUUGAGGUGGGAAGGUUGCCCCAUGGAGGCUCACAGUGGUCCUUCAGAGCCCCAGAGACACUCACAUCGGUGAGAAAAUGCAGUUGGGCUGGCAACAUAUUUCACACUUUCAUGUUUCAAUGCCUUAGGCUGGUCUUCUGAACUUCCCAGGAAAAGAUAAAAUGCUGUAAGUUCCCAGGAAGGUGCGUGAGCCACCCUUUGGCUUAGGGGGCUUUGCAGCCUCUCCUUUAAUUCAAGUAGAAAACUCUCCUUCUGCAUGCUUAUUCACAGUAGAAGGCAAAUGUGCACAUGCACACACAUGCGCCAAAUAGACACACAUACACAUACAUACCACAUGCACACACACUAAACACACAGACACAUCACACACAGACACACAUCCUACACACACAAAUACACGCCACACACAUCCUAUACACACAGAAACACACCACACACGCCCCACAUAGACACAUACACACCACACACACUCCAUACACACAGACACACACCACACACCCCAUACACACAGACACACACACCAUAUACACACCACAUAGGCACAUACACACUACACAGAUACACAUAUACAACACCUGCCCGUACACUAACAUAUCACAGACACAUCACACACCACAUGCACACACACUGCACACACAGACCCCACACACAGACACACACCCUAUACACACACACACCAUAUAAACCCCACAUAGACACAGACACACAUAUACAACACCUGCUCAUACACGAACACAUCAUAAACAGACAUAUCACACACCACAAAAACCAUGCCACAUAGACACAGAGCACAACAUACAGACAUCACAGAUACCACAUACACAGCACACACACACUUCACACACACACGUCACACACCACACCACAUGCACACACACACUUCACACACACACAUCACACACGACACCACAUGCACACACACAGACACAUGCCACGUACACACAUACCACACACAUACAGACAUCACAGAUACCACAUACACAGCACACACACACUUCACACACACACACAUCACAAACAUACUUCACACACUACGAGACACUGAGUCACACAUACACACACCGCAUGCACAUACACACCCUACAAACACACCACACACUACACAUUCACACACCGCCACCACACCCUUACACCACACACACACAAACACAUACACGUAACACAUAUACCGAACACAUGCCACACACAUUCACACACCACGUACACAUAUACACACAGAUUGUUUUUUGAAGAAUGCAAAGAGUAAAUAGUGAUUAAAGACCAUUUAAACCUGAGAUCCAAAUUUGAAAAUAGCUUAAUUUCUCCUAAGUUGACUUUUUAGAAUUACACUAUUUCACAUUCCUAUAGUGACUUACUUAGGAUGAGUUUUACUUACCAAGAAUUCUUACAAAUUACAAGGAAGAAAAAUGUAAAAACUGUAAUUUUGAUCACGAACGUAUCUUAUCUUUUCUACGCAAGGCAUACAUUAUACAGAAAAUAAUGACAUCGACUCAGUAUCUUUUCCUCUGCUGACCUUAAAGGAUAAAUGUCUUUUACAAUGGCAUAUUUUCCCCUAUGAGAUUGUAAAUAUGUCUUAGUGCAUAUGAAUGCUGCUUCUGCUUUCUGUGUUAUAAAAAUAUUACAAGGCACUCUCCAUUCCUCUGGAAUUCAGAAAUUUUCACAGAGUCUUCACUAAGUAGGGACAAAAGAAUGCAGGCUUUGGAGAAGUGAUCAUGGAGAUGCUAUCCUGACAGGGAGAGCUGAAGAAGCCCAUUGAGCUGCAGGUUCACAAGUUCAAUUAUUUUCAGAGAUGAUAGCAACUCUGUAAACACAGGCCACAGAUGUGUCACUAGCCAUUGUUCAGAAGGCCAAGAAUAUUAGAAAGAAUCUUACAGGAAAGAGAAGUUGUCUUUCUUUACACUUCACCUGGUGUGAGUAUCACCUUGGGCCAGAUAACCAUAAGGAAGAUGGCUUUAAGACAAUCAAACACAGCUGCUAUGGAAAACGGUAUGGAGGUUUCUCAAAAAAUUGAGAAGAGAGCUACAUAUAACCCAGCAAUUCCAUGCUGGGUGUAUAUUCAAAGGAAGUGAAAUCAGUGUUGCAGAAAGAUACCUGUACUCCCAUGCUCAUUGCAUUAUUCACUAUAGCCAAGAUGUGGAAUCAACCCAAAUGUCCAUCAACAGAAGAAUGAGCAAACAAAACGUGGUAUACACAAAUAAUAGUUCAAUAUUUUUCAACCUUAAAAGAGAAGGAAAUACUGCCAUUCAUGACAAUAUGGAUGCAUCUGAAAAACAUUACAUUAAGUAAAAUAAACUAGUCACAGAAGGAUCAAUGCUAUGUGACUCUGCUUAUACGAGGUAUCUUCAAUAGUCAAACUCAUAGAAACAAAUCCAUCACUGAGUACCAGAGGCUUGAGGGAGGGGGACAUUGUUGUUCAAUUGGUGUAAAGUUCAGUCAUUCAAGACAAAUAAAUUCUAGAGAGCUGCUACUUACGGGUCCCUACAGUUGUGUUAGUCUGUUCUCGCACUGCUAUAAAGAAAUAGCUGAGACUGGGUAAUUUAUAAAGAAGAGAGGUUUAAUAGGCUCACUGUUCCACAGGCUGUACAGGAAGCAUGUCUGGAGGCUUAAAACAACCACAUCUUGUGAAAACUCACUCACUAUUGUGGCCAAGGAGGAUGGUGCUCAACCAUUCAUGAGAACUCCACUCCCAUGACCCAGUCGCCUCCCACUAGGCCCCACCUUCAACACUGGGGAUUACAAUUUGACAUGAAAUUUGAUGCAAACACAGUUCUGAACCAUAUCAGUAGUUAACAAUACUGUACUGUGCACUGAAAAAUGCAUGAAAAACAUAGCUCUCAUGUUGAAUGUUCUUACCAUAAAAAGAAAAAAGGACACAAGAAAUUCUUUGGAAGUAACAGACAUGUCUAUUACCUUGAUUGUGGUAAUGGUUUCACAGGUGCAGGUGGAUGUCCAAACUCAUUAAAUUUUAUUCAUUAAAUAUGUGCAAUUUUUUGUAUAUCACUUAUACCUCAAUAAAACUGUUUUUAAAAA
RNAcentral lists this long non-coding RNA (3792 nucleotides) under Homo sapiens (human). RNAcentral describes it as "non-protein coding LINC02226:16". The record is from RNAcentral. Lineage: Eukaryota; Metazoa; Chordata; Mammalia; Primates; Hominidae.